AGCAUGUGGAUUAAUUCGAUGCAACGCGAAGAACCUUACCUGGGUUUGACAUACACCGGAAAACCGUAGAGAUACGGUCCCCUUGUGGUCGGUGUACAGGUGGUGCAUGGCUGUCGUCAGCUCGUGUCGUGAGAUGUUGGGUUAAGUCCCGCAACGAGCGCAACCCUUGUCUUAUGUUGCCAGCACGUGAUGGUGGGGACUCGUAAGAGACUGCCGGGGUCAACUCGGAGGAAGGUGGGGACGACGUCAAGUCAUCAUGCCCCUUAUGUCCAGGGCUUCACACAUGCUACAAUGGCCAGUACAGAGGGCUGCGAGACCGUGAGGUGGAGCGAAUCCCUUAAAGCUGGUCUCAGUUCGGAUCGGGGUCUGCAACUCGACCCCGUGAAGUCGGAGUCGCUAGUAAUCGCAGAUCAGCAACGCUGCGGUGAAUACGUUCCCGGGCCUU
RNAcentral lists this ribosomal RNA (445 nucleotides) under uncultured Rhodococcus sp. RNAcentral's name for it is "bacterial SSU rRNA". It matches the Rfam family "Bacterial small subunit ribosomal RNA", at positions 936 to 1382 of the family's 1533-position model. The record is from RNAcentral. Lineage: Bacteria; Bacillati; Actinomycetota; Actinomycetes; Mycobacteriales; Nocardiaceae.